GGCAGAUCUCUGUGAGUUCGAGGCUGGGCUGGACUGACAGCCUCCAAAACAAUACAGAGAAACCCUGUCUCGUAAAACAAAAACAAAAACAAAAAAAAAAAGAAGGUUUUUAAAGUAUGUCUUUAUGAUUCUUGGAAUUUUCUUGGGGUCUGAUGAAAGUUGCUUUCCUCUCUAAUUUUAUUAAUUUGGAUCCUUUCUUCCUUUUGGUUAGUUAGGCGAUAGGUUCAUCAACUUUCUAAAUUCUUUCAAACUAAUUUUUUGUUUCAUUGAUUUAUUUUGUAAUUUUCAUUUCAAUUCCAUUAAUUUUGGCCAGGAUUUUAGUAAUCUCUAUCUACUUUUCUUUGUGGGAGGUGUUGAUUAUUUUUGUUUUUAGAAGGCCUUCAGAUGUAUCACUAAGUUGUUAACUUGAGGCUUCUCAAAAAAUUACAUAGGCAUAUAGUGAGUUAAGCUUUAUUCUUGUAAUUGCCUUGUUUUAUUUUAUUUUAUUCAAUUCUUAAAUUUCUUUCUUGAUUUCUUUCUUCCCUCAAUUUUGAUUCAGUAAUGUGUUGUUUAGAUUCCAUGAAUAUGUAUUCUUUAGUUGUUAAUAUCUAGCUUUAAUACAUGGUUGUCAGAUAAAAUGCAGAAUGUAAUUUCUAUUUUCCUGUAUUGGCUGAGACUAGCUUUGGGUCUUUUGAUUAUGAACACCAGCCCAAUCCCUUCUGACCAUCGUAGUCUCCAUUGAAAAAUCUGCUGUUAUUACGAUGAGCCUGCCUUUGUAUGUGACUCGGUCUUUCUUGCUGCCUGUUUUUAUUAUCUUUUGCUUGUUGCUGUUGUUCUGAACAUUUAGUGUUUUGAUGUCAUGAGGGAUUUUAAAAGAGGCUUUUCUGUUCCUCCCUGUCCUGCAGCCUCUUUUAAAAUAAUCACUCAGAGACUUAAUAUUACUUACAAAUCAUUUGGCCUGUUGCUCAUGCUUAUUACUAGUUAGCUCUUGCAACUUAAAUUAACUCAUUUCCAUUCAUCUAUAUUAUGUAUUUGUAUGUAAGAGGUGUUACCUGUUCUCUGGUACAUCUUGUUGCUCAGACAGCUCACUGGCAUCUGCCCCUGAUACCCUUCUUUUUUUUCCCCUAUAUCUCUGCUUUGAUUUCUCACCUGCCUCUAUCCUGCCUUGCUGUAGGCCAAAGAAGUUUCUCUAUUAACCAAUGGUAAUAAAUCAUAUUCACAGUAUACAGAGGGGAGUUUCUUUUCUAGUGCUGUCUGCUUGAUGCUCUGUAUUCCUGUCAGACCUUAAUAGGCACCUCUUACUUCAGAUUAAGGAAGGGUUUUUUUUUUUUUUCUGUGAUUUGGUUGCAAAAAUCUUUUCUACCCUUGACCUCUGCCUCCUCUUCUUCUGAACUUAUUUUUUACAGGUUUGGUCUUUGUAUAACAUCCAAGUUCCUGCAGUUUUGAUUUCUUGGGAUAGUUUGGAUUAGAUGUUUUCUUUCAUUGAAUGAUCUAAUUCUUCUAACUUGCCUUCAAGUCCGGAUAUCUGCUCUUCAACAUGAUCAAUCUACUGGUGAUCUUGUCUUCUGAUUUUUUUAAUUCAUGCAUAUUAUGUUUUAAAUCAUAUUCCAUUUUGCUUUACUUCAGAAGUUCUGUCCAUUAAAUUCUGUUUUCAUUUCUUGGCUUUCCAUAACUUCAGUCAACCAUGUUUUGUGGUGUUUGUUCUAGCAGUUAUUUAUAUUCUCUUAGAAUUCUUUGGCUAUUUUCAGUUUUGCUAUUUUGAAAUCAUUGUCUUGUACGACAUUUGGGUUGCUUUUCUCAGGGGACAUUACUCUGGACAUACUAAUUUUUUCAUGGAGAAUUGGCACUUUGGUUAUUCAUGUUUACCCACUUGUAAUGAGACCUAAGCAUCUUCAGUCAGGUGUCAAGUACUGGUUACUGGUAUGGAAAUCUUGCCCAGCAGGUGUUUGUAGCUUCCGUUAAUGUAUUUCAAUUUAUCACGUGGUAGGCCAGCUGUGUGAAGCUUAGGAUUCAGUCUUUGGACGAUUCAGUGUUGUUGAUGUUUCAGAGGUAUCAGAAGUAGUCCUGCCGUAGCGCAAGCUAAAUGAGGACUCUCGGGUCAUGAGUUGACACUUUUGUAGUUGAAAACUGCAGCUCUAUGUAGAAGGAAGUCUUGCCACCUUUUCCUUCUUUAUGUUCUUAGUGCUUGGCCUUACCCAUAGCAGGUGGGUUGAAUAAGUCAGCAAGCUGUGCCAAUCAAGAGGAGAAGGCCAGUGGGCAGUGUUCCUCUGCAGUCCUGCAUCAGUUCCUGUAUCCAGGUUCCUUCCCUAGUUUUGAUCAGUGAUGGAUGAACUGUGAUGAGGAAGGGUAAGCCAAUAAACCCCUUUCUACUCAAGUUGCUUUUGAUCAAUGUCUUCUCACAGCAACAGAGAAAACAACUUAGGACAUCUGGGUCCAGGGUAUUAAUUGAGUAGACAAGUAAUGAUUACGUCAUCAUCAGUAUGCUAGUAUCAUGUUAAAUUUUACCUGAGUUGUAUAUUUGACUUCUCAGGAAAGUAUCCCUAGGAAAGUACCUAAUACAUUAUUCAAAAAGAUCUUGAGGCUGAGUAAACAUAACAAUGUUUUAUAAUAGUGACAACAAACUAGCAGUGCUAUUAGAAGGGGUGUGCCCUCCCUUCACGUACUGAAAUUCAGAUGUCCACUGACUUGACAUCAAGAGUUGUGGCCUUUGAGACAUGAGUAGCUCAUGGGGAGGAACCCCUAUAAGUGGAAUUAGUGCCCUUAUAAAAGUGCACAGAAGAAUUCUUGUCAUUCUACCAUCUGAAGUCACAACAUCCAUGAGUCAAAUGAUAUCAAAUUUGCCACUUCAAUUAUUUUGGACAUUUUAUUGUUUAUAAGCCACCCAGCUUAUGAUAAAUUUUAUGGCAACAUAAAUGUACUAAAACAAUUGGUGUAAACAUACCAUAAUUACAUAGUUCUGAAGAGCAGAGGUUCAGAAUGAAUUGUAUUGGGCCAAAAUGAAUACUAGGUCCGUCUUUCUUUUGGACUCUGUUUACUGGCUUUGACAGUCCCUAGAAGCCAUUUGUUUUCCAUGGCAACAGUCUCUUACCCCACAUUCAGAGUCAACAGAGCAGCACCCUCAGUUUUCUCUCUGUCAAUAAUGUUCCCAUCUUCUCUAAUGAGGAAUUCCAGGAUUGGGUUAGGCUACCUGCUUAACCUGGAAAGAGUCCUUCAUCUGAAGAUCUUUAAUUUAACCUCAUUUGCAAGAACCUUUGUGAUGUGAGGUAACACGCACAAAAAUGUGGGAGAUUAGCACAAGUGUGUCUUUGGAGCUACUAUUCUGUUUCUUAUGUCUAUUGAAUUUAAAUAACUAUCAGGCUUCAAGGGCCAUAUGGAAGACAGGCUUGUUUUGCUACAAAGCAUGUUGCUUUUUGUCUUAUAAUACAGUGUUUUAUGAUCUUGACUCAUUUGAUAUUUCUACCACCCAUCUUAUUAUCAAAGGCAUAGGUUCCAAGAACAGUGAGACAGAGGAAAACUGGGAGGUUCCCAGCAGAUCAUUUGUCUAUGACUUCUGUCACUUAUGGAAGAACUAAGACAUAUUAACACUUCCCCAAGAACUCCUCAGUAGGGUGAAACUACUGCUCUCUGCCUUCUUGGCAGAACUGCAGCUUCUACUGAACUGUAUUAUUACCGUGUCUAGAGCACAGUGAGCAGCAGUAAGCUGUAGUAUUCUGCUGUCCCAACAGAAGGUUGUCAAUUGUUCUGGCUCUCUGUUAGAGGAUUAUUUUUCUCUCAGGGGUGGACAGAUAUGAGCUGUCAGUCAAUGCACAGGUUGGCUCCCUUUAUGGUAUUUGGAACCACAGUGUAAUUGUCACUAAACAUUGAGCUGAACUGUCGUCCCAGCAGCGGAAACCUACGGGAUGAUCAGGAACUUGGGUAUAGUAGGUGUGUGUGUCCAGGCAGGGGGGGUGGUCGAACUAACUUGUAGCCUCCCAUGAAGGUCCACUAGAGAAGUAGAAUUUUGAAGUAAAGGCUACUGGAAACUCUUGUGAAGUAUCCACCAGAGAACACUGCUCGGACAUGUGUUUAAACCAAUAGGAAGUCUUUAUUAUCUGGCUGGAGACUACACUGACUAUUCAGGAUGCCAGUGUACCACCAAGCCUUUCUCAGGGUGAGUUUUUAAGGCCAAAAACCAUAUCCUGGGUUGAUACUCUCCAGUUAACAGGAACAGUUAGCCAGAAGCAGAAGUAUAGAAGCCAAAGCAACAACAUAAAAAAACAAGGUUAGUAUAUUUAGGGACCUUCCCAGAACUGUGAACUCUGAUGGAUUAGGUCUUUGUUUUCAUUUUGGCAUGUGGUGCUGCCUACAUGCUGAGUUUUAUGUCCUGAGUGGUACUUCUAUCAUGACAUCAGUUGUGCUAAGUUCUGGGGGCCUGAUAUAGAAACCUAGUAAUUGAAAACUAGUGUGAGAAUUGAUAAUGAUAGGUUUCAAUGCCAAUUGAUCCUUGCAGAAGGGAGCAGUACUGAUGCAGAGUACCCAUCAUACUGGUGUGCAAGGAGCCAAGACAGGGAACACUAUGCACAAUGAUAGGACAAACAUGAAUGGAUCUAACAGGAGCAACAGAAGUCUGGGGGUGGGGGGGGGGAGAGAGGGCAGCAAGGAAGACCAUGAUAUUUGGAGAGAUUGUAGUCAUCAUAUUAUCAAAAGAAAACAGCAAGCAAGACAAGAGAUGUCUGUGUUAGGGAAACAGAGUAACCUUUCAGGCAUCCAUGGGACUGGAGCACAUUUCAAACUGUUGUCUCUUCCCUGUGGAUGUUGACUAGAACAGGAGUUGUGGUAAGCAGCUGUGUCACAGAACAAAACUUUCCCACCUUUUGAGAAAUAACUUCUGUUUUGGUUGCCUACUUGCUUAGCUUAGUUAUGGCAUUUCAAAAUAUUAUAACAUUAACUUCUUUUUAUUUCAGGUGUCUAUUUUUGGUUAGCCAUAAAUCAGUGAGCUAAAUUAUGACAGUCCAUACAUUUCACGAAUGUAGAUUUUCAUGCAUGAAGAUUUCCAUGCAUGUAGGUUUUCACGCAUGUAGAUUUCCAUGCAUGUAGGUUUUCACGCAUGUAGAUCUCCAUGCAUGUAGACCAUUGUGCUUUGCUCUAUUCACACCCUAUCACCCUCCCUUCACCUUCUCCUGGCUGAUCCCUCAACAAUAUUAUACAUUGAAAGGUAGAUUGUUCAUAUGGUAGAAAGUGUGAUACUGUAUUGGGUUUUUGUUGUUGUUUCUUUUCUCUUUUAUAUUUCUAUGGCAGAAUAAGAGUUUUGAGUUUCCUAAGCUAGUUUUAUUAUUUGCUUUCCUUGGCCAUUAGUUGCUUUUGAGAGAACAUUUCAGUGUACAUUUUCUGUUUUUCCUUGUGGCUACCAGGAACAGGAAAGAAUUGCUAUAAUACAGCCGUACUCUGAAGGAUUCUGUGGAAUUUAACAUGUUCCAGGACAUAGUGAUACCAUGGUUGGAGACUGUGGUGGACUGGUCAUCAAGAUUACCAUAGGAAAUAACCCAGUUGGCCAAGGGAAAGAAAAGAAAACCUGGGAACUCACUCACGGUUACAAAAUAAAGCAUGUGAGAAAAGGGGCCUGGGGAAUCCUGUGGGGCAGAUGGGUGCUGUGUGUAAAUGACUUGUAAAUGUCAUGGUGCUGAGGCAAAUGAUUUGUAAAUGUCAUGGUGCUGGGACAAAUGACUUGUAAAUGUCAUGGUACUAGGGCAGGACUUUGUCAUCACCAGGCUCCAGCACAGAGCACCUUUCUCUUAUUUAAUAAACUGCCUCUGUCUCUACCACUA
Mesocricetus auratus (golden hamster) is the source of this 5783-nucleotide long non-coding RNA. RefSeq lists it as uncharacterized. Lineage: Eukaryota; Metazoa; Chordata; Mammalia; Rodentia; Cricetidae. The record is from RefSeq and is a predicted model, not a curated record. The transcript is spliced from 2 exons.